UCAGCCAUGAUACUGUCAUUCACUUGAUCGACAGUCAUUUGUGGUUUUUGGUUAGGGGCAUUUGAUGAAGAAGUCAUUUCAGAUAUAUAGAAGUUUGAGUUUUGAUCUGAAAUCUUUUAUAAGGUCCCAAUUUUGGUGGAAAGCAAUAUGAUUGUUAGAUGGUCAUCAUGGAUUUGUUUGUCGCGAUGGAGGUUGUCCCAGAAGUGGAAACAAGAGUAAGUGCUUCAAAGAUUUAUGUUGAUUGGGAAAUGCGGAAAUGUUGACUUAUGCGGUAAACGUUGGUUGUGGUUAGAACCCAUAGUGACUCCUUUGGACUAUUGGCUCUUGGUACAUUUGAAGUAUUUUUAGUAUAGUUUUGUUUUGUACAUUUCUGCAAAAAGUUGAGUUGGAGUCAUGGUCUUUUGUAUAUUGAUGUAUUUUAAGUCUUGAAGUCUUGACUAUUAUGGUGGAUUGAAGUAUACAUCAUUUUGGAGUCAAAUUGGUCAUUUUGUCACUUUGGGUAAAUGCGGGCGAGUGACCCGUUUGGUUGUUUUAAUGUAAAUUUCAAUGGUUAAAGUUUCGAAUGUAUCAAUUAGGUUGUAAUAUGUGAUUUUACA
This is a long non-coding RNA of Erigeron canadensis, 596 nucleotides long. RefSeq lists it as uncharacterized. The record is from RefSeq and is a predicted model, not a curated record. Lineage: Eukaryota; Viridiplantae; Streptophyta; Magnoliopsida; Asterales; Asteraceae. The transcript has 3 exons.